CCUACGGGUGGCAGCAGUGGGGAAUAUUGCACAAUGGGGGAAACCCUGAUGCAGCGACGCCGCGUGAGUGAAGAAGGAAUUCGUUAUGUAAAGCCCUAUUAGCAGGGAAGAAAAUGACGGUACCUGAGUAAGAAGCACCGGCUAACUACGUGCCAGGAGCCGCGGUAAUACGGAGGGGGCAAGCGUUAUCCGGAUUUACUGGGUGUAAAGGGGGCGUAGACGGGAGUGCAAGUCUGGAGUGAAAGGCGGGGGCUCAACCCCCGGACGGCUCUGGAAACUGUGCGGCUGGAGUGCAGGAGAGGUAAGUGGAAUUCCAGGUGUAGGAGUGAAAUCCGUAGAUAUCUGGAGGAACAUCAGUGGCGAAGGCGACUAUCUGGCACAUAACUGACGCUGAGGAGCGAAAGCGUGGGUAGCGAACAGGAUUAGAUACCCCUGUAGUC
RNAcentral lists this ribosomal RNA (440 nucleotides) under uncultured bacterium. RNAcentral describes it as "partial 16S ribosomal RNA". It matches the Rfam family "Bacterial small subunit ribosomal RNA", at positions 338 to 795 of the family's 1533-position model. The record is from RNAcentral.